This 468-nucleotide ribosomal RNA is filed under the name uncultured bacterium. RNAcentral's name for it is "partial 16S ribosomal RNA". It matches the Rfam family "Bacterial small subunit ribosomal RNA", at positions 28 to 507 of the family's 1533-position model. The record is from RNAcentral.
GACGACCGCUGGCGGCGUGCUUAACACAUGCAAGUCGAACGGAAAGGCCCUGCUUUUGUGGGGUGCUCGAGUGGCGAACGGGUGAGUAACACGUGAGUAACCUGCCCUUGACUUUGGGAUAACUUCAGGAAACUGGGGCUAAUACCGGAUAGGAGCUCCUGCUGCAUGGUGGGGGCUGGAAAGUUUCGGCGGUUGGGGAUGGACUCGCGGCUUAUCAGCUUGUUGGUGGGGUAGUGGCUUACCAAGGCUUUGACGGGUAGCCGGCCUGAGAGGGUGACCGGCCACAUUGGGACUGAGAUACGGCCCAGACUCCUACGGGAGGCAGCAGUGGGGAAUAUUGCACAAUGGGCGGAAGCCUGAUGCAGCAACGCCGCGUGCGGGAUGACGGCCUUCGGGUUGUAAACCGCUUUCGCCUGUGACGAAGCGUGAGUGACGGUAAUGGGUAAAGAAGCACCGGCUAACUACGUG